AUGGCUAACCUCAUUCAGCAGCAAUUACUUCGCGCUCAACAACGAAUGAAGAGUCAGGCGGAUAAACAUCGUUGUGAACGCUCCUUUGAAGUAGGAGAACAAGUAUAUUUGAAGCUGCAACCCUAUGUUCAAACCACGGUGGCUCGCAGAUCCAACCAAAAACUAAGUUACAAAUUCUUUGGUCCCUACAAGGUACUAGCAAGGGUGGGUGCAGUAGCUUAUAAACUGGAGUUACCACCUGGCAGUCAAAUUCAUCCGGUCGUUCAUGUCUCCAUGCUCAAAAAGGCUAUGCCAGCAACGGUUAUUGUUCAACCAGACUUACCAAGUACAUGUGCAUCUCUGGAAUGUCCACCUCAACCACUUCAGGUACUCGAUUCCAACCACAUUUCUGCUGGUAAUUCAACUGUCGAGUUGGUGCAGAUUCAGUGGACAGGGCUACCAUCGUCUUGGUCGACCUGGGAGAACAAACAACAAGUAAUGCAAGAGUUUCCAAAUGCUUCUGCUUGGGGUCAAGCAGUUCCUGAAGCGGAGGGGAAUGUCACGGACGUGACCCUGUCAAGGCCCAAGUGGAAGAAGCCCAACAACAGGGCGGCCCAGUAG
Molecule: ribosomal RNA, 600 nt
Filed under: Triticum aestivum (bread wheat)
Lineage: Eukaryota; Viridiplantae; Streptophyta; Magnoliopsida; Poales; Poaceae
Description: partial small subunit ribosomal RNA
Source: RNAcentral